Molecule: long non-coding RNA, 2669 nt
Organism: Tachyglossus aculeatus (Australian echidna)
Lineage: Eukaryota; Metazoa; Chordata; Mammalia; Monotremata; Tachyglossidae
Exons: 2
Source: RefSeq, a predicted model, not a curated record
UUGCUGCUCUCAGGCCUAGCAAGAUGGCCGCAGGUUUGAAAUCGAGUUCAUCUACAGCUCCUCCUUGCAGCCGAUUCCAUUAGCCUGACCUCUGAAUUCCACCCAGUAAAAGGACUCAGAUCUCACAUGGAAGGACACCAUUAUUACUGCUAAGAUGGUCUGCUAGAAAUUGUUUCUCUUGCUAAAACACACCGAACUCACCCUGUUCCAGCGGAGGCCGAUCCAGCCAAUGAGAAGCACUGGAAGAGAUGGAAUCUGGUGAAACAGUGGCAACCAGUGGCCGAUGAAGGGCUCUGACCAAGAUGAGGUGGUUCCAGGAUUCUAACCAGGCUCUCACCAGUGGAAUCAGCAUUUCUGAUGAGCUGCCUGCCCAGAGCUGUGUGCGUCCGUGGGUCUGUCUUUUAAUUCAAUGUGACAUUGUUUUCCUCUUCUUAAGUCAUAGAGCAAGCAGAGCCUGUCAUUCUGACCAUUUUAAACCAUGGGAUGGUAGCAAAUGUCUUAACAUAGUAAGAAGCCCCUCGAUAUCUUCCAGCAGUGGGUUAGCUCUCCUGAAGUCUGGCAGCAAGGUUCAGUAGCCUCUUGUGAGGAGGGAGUCAGAGACUUGGAUUCUGGUCCUGGCAAGACCAACCUUCAGCGUCCCCAUGGGUAAAAUGCCUCUUCUUUUCUUCCUGGGAAUCUUAGGAGGAUGCACUGAGGGAGUCACUAUGAAAGCCCAGAGGAGGAUCAUGCUGUUGAUGAAGAUGCCAAAUGGGGAUCCGGGAUAAAAAUAAAUUCUCAUUUAGUGGGAAGGACCUCUUUAAGAAUUCAAAUGGCAGCAAACCUAGCUUCCAAAUAUGAGGUCCAAGUGGCAUCCUGGACUUUCCCUCCUAUUCCCUCCAUGCCAGUAUUUAUGGUGCGCAUUCCCCGGUGGGCCCUUGAAGCAUUCCCUAGACCAUAAUAAAUGUGUGGUGAGUUUCGGCAAGAGGUGUAGGGUUCAAAAGAGAGAUGUAUAAAUGGAGUUCCCUCUACCUACCUGCCUCUAGGUUCACCUGUUUACUUGACUCUUCAGGGCAAGUGGGACCAAUGGAAUGUCACCAAAUUGAGGAUUGCAGUGAGCAGGGGCAUAUUUUUACAAGGUUACCUCUGCUUCUUCCUGGCUCAAUUUUGUUUCCUAACCAAACACUCGGCUUUCUUUUAUUAAUCAUUAUCCUGGCUACAGUGCCUUUCCCAGCUGGCUUCAGACUAAGAGGCCAAAUGUUGGAUUUGCCGCUUAGAUAUUCAUGGUCAAAGCAAAUGACCCUGCCUUGGCUAGACAGUCUGUCUGGGUCCAUAUCAGCCAAAUGACAAUUGCCCAGGGAAUUUGGGCAAUGUAGACAGCUAAACUGGGAAAUUCAGUCUCUCUAGUCAGACAGAGAUAUAUUUCUAGGCAUUGAUACAUUGAUGUGAAUGGACAUGGUGAGGCUUCCAAAGUCUUUUCCCCUCUGAUAUAUUUCUAUGCAUCUAUAUGUUGAUGUGGAUUUACAUAGUGAGCCUUCAUAUUUUUAAUAUGUGCAAUAAAUGGUGACACAACAUUCUGAAACUAAGAGUGCUCAUCACCUUUUAUCCACCUUGAAAGCACGCAGUCAGAGAGCUUUUAUGUAAGCUCCUUGAGGGCAGUGAUUGUAUCUCCUACUUUAUUGUCCUCUCAAGGGAUUUGGGCACAGUAAGUGCCAAAUAAGUACCGUGGAUUGAUUGCUUGAUGGACAUAAAACCCCUAUGCUCCUUACAUAUGCACUCCAGGCCAAUAAUUUUGUAUGAUAUCUGGAUGGUUGCUUGUUUCAUUUUGUCUCCAAAACUGCAUCCUCUCUAAUAAUAAUUAUAAUAAUAAUAAUGGCAUUUGUUAAGCACUUACCAUGUGUUGGGGAAGAUACAAGCAAAUCAAGCCGCAAAGCUGGGAUUAGAACCCAGGUCUUUCUGACUCCCAACUCCAUGCUCUAUCCACUAGGCCACAGAAGUGCAGUUGUUUAUAAGUAUCUUUUGUUUCUUGGGGCAUAUGUGUGUGCAUGUGGGUGUGGGGGAGGGUGUGUUUGAACUGUAUCCCAGCAGACCAUCUGAUGGUUGCUGUAUCCUUCAGACCUGGACGACAUCAUCUAGCAGCCUCGCCUCUUCAUUUGGCUAAUGAAAUUAGUCCUGUUAAUGAGCACUCUCUCAACCUUCUUUAUCUACUGAACAUAUUGGCGAGUACCUGAGCCCGCAUAUUCAUAAAUGGUUUUUCAAUAGUACUUGGGUUUUUACAGAUAUCAAUAGCUAUUAGCUGUCUUAAUCCUCAUGUUUCUAUGCACCUGACUGGAGAAUACUUGAACAUCAGCUAAGUGGCCCAGAGAGAAUGGGAGCAAGUCCUGGAACAGUGCUGUACUCCCAUGGGACUGGUAAGAUGGCUAGUAAAAUGGACAAACGGCUAAUGCAGAUGACCAAGCGAUGGAUCCUAACAGGGAGAAGCCACUGAAACUUGGCCACACUCACUAGUAAAAUGCUGAUGACAUCACCUACCCCAGCGGAUUAUUUUCAGUUUGCCCUCAGGCUGGAGAUUGUGCUUUUUUGGAUGGACAACCAUUUUGCAGGGUGAAGAAUAAUCUCAGUAGCCUGUAGUGAGAGGACCUGUGUACUUCUUCCUUCAAUAAAAAUGUUCUUCUCACUCAUUCGGAAAAUCA